GUGUCAGCCGCCGCGGUAAUACGAAGGGUGCAAGCGUUACUCGGAAUUACUGGGCGUAAAGCGUGCGUAGGUGGUUCGUUAAGUCUGAUGUGAAAGCCCUGGGCUCAACCUGGGAAUGGCAUUGGAAACUGGCGACCUAGAGUGCGGUAGAGGGUAGUGGAAUUCCCGGUGUAGCAGUGAAAUGCGUAGAGAUCGGGAGGAACAUCCGUGGCGAAGGCGACUACCUGGACCAGCACUGACACUGAGGCACGAAAGCGUGGGGAGCAAACAGGAUUAGAUACCCUGGUAGUCC
Molecule: ribosomal RNA, 292 nt
Filed under: uncultured bacterium
Lineage: Bacteria
Description: partial 16S ribosomal RNA
Rfam family: Bacterial small subunit ribosomal RNA
Source: RNAcentral